RNAcentral lists this ribosomal RNA (384 nucleotides) under Triticum aestivum (bread wheat). RNAcentral describes it as "partial small subunit ribosomal RNA". The record is from RNAcentral. Lineage: Eukaryota; Viridiplantae; Streptophyta; Magnoliopsida; Poales; Poaceae.
GCUCUAGCCUACAACAUGAUUGUAGCUAACACCCUCUUUAGAAAGAGAGAAUCACAUCUGGUGACUUUUAGUAGUGGCCAACACUCUAGCCAGAUUGAUUUCAUCCUCUCGAGAAGAGAAGAUAGGCGUGCGUGCCUAGACUGUAAGGUGAUACCUGGGGAGAGUGUUGUACCCCAGCAUAAGCUGGUGGUUGCUGACUUCCGCUUUCGGAUUCGUGUCCAGCGGGAUAAGUGUGCCAAGGUCGCUAGAACGAAGUGGUGGAAGCUCAAGGGGGAGGUAGCUCAGGUGUUCAAGGAGAGGGUAUUUAAGGAGGGCCCUUGGGAGGAAGGAGGGGAUGCGGACAAUGUGUGGAUGAAGAUGGCGACUUGCAUUCGUAAGGUGGCC